This is a long non-coding RNA of Eriocheir sinensis (Chinese mitten crab), 3528 nucleotides long. RefSeq lists it as uncharacterized. The record is from RefSeq and is a predicted model, not a curated record. Lineage: Eukaryota; Metazoa; Arthropoda; Malacostraca; Decapoda; Varunidae. The transcript is spliced from 2 exons.
CUGCACCUUACCUCUCACCUCUCACCCUUCACACUAUACCCCCUCACCCUUCACCCUUCACACUAUACUAUCAUCUCACCCUUCACCUCUCGCCCAUUCCCUCCAUCUUCGCUUUUCAUCCAAUACUCCCUCACCCUCAUCCUUCAAAUAUCAUCCAAUCCCACUAAAUCCUCCCUUCAUCCUAUCCGCUCUCACUCUUCAAACCUCAAUCUCCUCCCAUCACCAAUACCAACACCAAUAUCAACACCAACACCAAUACCAACACCAAUACAAAUACCAACACCAAUACAAAUACCAACACUAAUACCAACACUAAUACUAACACCAACAUCCCUUCAUUUUAUACUUCCUCACCCUUUACACUUCCCAUCCCUCACCAACACCCUUCGCUCCCUUCAUUCCAUCUACACCCACUACCUCCCUUCUUCUUUCCACCUGCUUGCCCUUCCCUGUGUUCCCCUUCCUCCCCUUCCUUCUACACCUGUUACCCUUCUUCCUUCCUUCCUCUCUUCUACCCUCCCCCACAAUCUUUCAUCUUCCUUCUCCCCUUUCUCUUUCUACUAUCGCCUAUCUCCCUUCCUUCCUCUUUACCCAUCUUCAUUGCCUUCCUCUUGACUCCCCUUCACUUAUCUCCCUUCCCCACCCGUCCCAUCCCCUUCCCUUCAUUGAACUCUCUUACCCUACCCCCCCAAAUCACCUGUCUACCUUUCCUCCCUUACCAAUCUCCUCUUCCCUUUCCCAUCAUCACCUGUCUUCCUUCUCCCCCUUACCAAUCAGCCCCCCUCUUCUUCUCUCCCUCCUCUUUCCUCCUGUACCAAUCACGCCUCCCUCUCCUCUCCUCUUACCUUUCCCACCUUCACCUGUGUACCUUCUCCCCCUUACCAAUCAGAAUCUCCCUCUCUCUUCUCCCCUCUUCACCUGUCUGCCUCUCCCCCUUACCAAUCAGGUCUGCCUCUCUUCGCCUCUCCCUCUUCAUUAGACACAAGUACCUGCACCACUAAUUAAGGUGUAGAGAGUGUACGAAACGACUCUUGCCGACCAAUUGCCUGAGUUAACCAGACCACCACCACCACCACCACCACCACCACUACCACCACCACCACCACCACCACCACGCCCACUACUUUUGCUACUACCACCACCACCAACAACAACAACAACAACACACCCACUACCACCAACAACAACACCACGCCCACCACCACCACCACACCCACAACCACCACCACCACUACUAUUGCUACUACUACUACUACUACUACUGUUACUACCAUUUCUGCUAUUGCUAUUGCUACUAUCGUUGUUAUUACUGCUACUAUUCAAAACUAUUUUCAUUACUACUAUUAUUACAACUACCUUCAACAUUACUACUUCUACUACUCCUACUACUACUACUACUAUUACUUCUACUACUACUACUAUUACUUCUACUACUACUACUACUACUACUACUACUACUACUACUACUGUUACUACCAUUUCUGCUUCUGCUAUUGCUACUAUCGUUGUUAUUACUGCUACAACUAUUAUUAUAUUCAAAACUAUCUUCAUUACUAAUAAUAAUAAUAAUAAUAAUGUUACUUCUACUACUACUACUACUACUACUAUUAUUUCCAGUCCCAUCAUGAAGUCUCUCCUACUUAAAUCUCCUUCAUUACCACUACCAAAACCACCAUCAACUCCUCCAUCAACUCCAGCAAGUCCCAUCCACUUGAAAACGUUCCUCAAUUACCACCACCACGGAAACGAUUACAACAAACAUUUAAUUGAUUACACCACCAUCACCCUCGCCACCACCACCACCACCCCCACCAUACUUAGCCACUCAUUACAGCACAAACCAUAACACAAUAGCCUUACCACCCCCACCACCACCAUAACAACCACAACAAUAACGAUGAUAAUAAUAAUAACGAGGCAAUUAUAUGGCUGAGGAAACAAAAGAACGUAAUGAGCACAAAAACGUUCAGCGGUUCGUAAAUUAUUUGUAUUACGAAGUGGAGUUCAGAUCCUUGUUGUGUUUACGUUGUGUUCGCUAUUAUAAUGACCGAGAAGGAAUAAUACAGCGUAUGACGUUUUUUUUUUUUCUGUUUUUUUACAACAAAGGAGACAGCUCAAGGGCACAAAAAAAAGGAAAAGGAAAAAGGACUUAUCAAAUCGACCUACUCGACAUAAUAGGAGGAAAUAUAAGUUGCUGACCCACAAACUUUAGAGGGAAAAUGAACUAGUAAAUAAAUAAAUAAAGAAAGAAAGAAAGGAAACGUUACCAAUUCAAGUGUUAAAAAAAAAAAUCCUUCCAUCGACAAAAGAAAAAAAAAUGACCCACAGACGUUAGAGGGAGAAUAAAGUAGUAAAUAAAGAAAUAAAUAAAUAAAGAAAGAAAGAAAGAUAACGUUGCCAAAUUUAAGUUUAAAAAAAAAAUCCUUCGACAGACAACGAAAGACAAAAAAUACUGACCCGCAGACAUUAGAUGGAAAAUAAACUAGUAAAGAAAGAAAGAAAGAAAGAAAGAAAGAAAGAAAGAAAGAAAACAAAAGAAACGUUACCAAUUUAAGUGUAAAAAAAAAAUUCCUUCCACCGACAACAAAAUAAAAAAAAAAUUACCGACCCACAGACGUUAGAUGGAAAAUAUAGUAAUUAGUAAAUGAAACGAAAAAUAAGGCAAGAAAAACUAAACUACUGAAUAAAGAAGGACGGAGGAAAUACAACAUUGGCAACACUACAUGAGGAGGAAAACGCUUAUUCAUUCGCCUCAUAACGUAAAAAAAAAAAAAAAAAAAAAAAAAUUACUCACUAAAAGCAAAAUACGGAAACAUACAAAUAAACAAGUCAAAAGCUAUUUAACAACGUGGGGGAAACGUUUACUCUGCCACCUUGCUUAUAAUAUACACUAAAACAAACGAAAAAAAACAGGUGGAAAAUGCGUUUAUUCUGGUGCUUCAUAACACUAAUAAAUCAAAUCGUUACUGGUUCACAAACAAUAAGGAAAGACGAACUAAUAAAUAAACACAUAAAUAGAUAAAUAAAAUAACUAGCGACUCUAUCAUGUGGGCAAAAAAAGUAGAGUUUAUCCUUACGCUUCAAAACAAAAACAAAAACAAAAAAAAACGUUACUGGUUGACAAACGAUAAAGAAAGAUAAACUAAUAAAUAAACAUAAAUAAAUAAAUAAAAUAACUAGCGACUCUAUCAUGUGGGCAAAAAAAGUAGAGUUUAUCCUUGCGCUUCAAAACAAAACAAAAAAAAUAAAAAACGUUACUGAGUUCACAAACGUUAUAGGCAGACGAACUAAUAAAUAAACAUAAGUAAAUAAAUAAAAUAACUAGCGACUCAACAAUGUGUGCAAAAAAAAAGAUGAGUUUAUCCUUGCGCUUCAUAACAAAACAAAAAUAAUAAAAAACGUUACUGAGUUCACAAACGUUAUAAAGAAAGACGAACUAAUAAAUAAACACAUAAGUAAAUAAAUAAAAUAACUAGCAACUUAACAAUGUGUACAAAAAAAGAAGAGUUUAUCCUGGCGCAUCAUAAC